RNAcentral lists this ribosomal RNA (253 nucleotides) under uncultured bacterium. RNAcentral's name for it is "partial 16S ribosomal RNA". It matches the Rfam family "Bacterial small subunit ribosomal RNA", at positions 524 to 776 of the family's 1533-position model. The record is from RNAcentral.
UACGGGGGGGGUAAGCGUUGUUCGGAAUUACUGGGCGUAAAGGGCUCGUAGGCGGCCAACUAAGUCAGACGUGAAAUCCCUCAGCUUAACUGGGGAACUGCGUCUGAUACUGGAUGGCUUAGAUCCGGGAGAGGGAUGCGGAAUUCCAGGUGUAGCGGUGAAAUGCGUAGAUAUCUGGAGGAACACCGGUGGCGAAGGCGGCAUCCUGGACCGGUAUUGACGCUGAGGAGCGAAAGCCAGGGGAGCAAGCGGG